UGCUGAGCUGCUGGUCAGCCUGUUGCAGUCGGAAUGAGUGGUGACGCGUCUCUAAAUAUAAACUGAAGUAUACAGAAAAGGGGCCCUUUACCACUUCACUUAUAGAUUGAGCCACAUACCAGUGAAAUUGAUUUUGCUUCAGCAACUGGAUUUUCAGCUUGAGCUGUGGUAGCAUUUGGAGCAGAGUCUGUGCAGAAUAUCAGGUCAAAU
RNAcentral lists this long non-coding RNA (210 nucleotides) under Phasianus colchicus (ring-necked pheasant). RNAcentral's name for it is "lncRNA (ENSPCLG00000017971.1)". The record is from RNAcentral. Lineage: Eukaryota; Metazoa; Chordata; Aves; Galliformes; Phasianidae.